GAUGAACGCUGGCGGCGUGCCUAAUACAUGCAAGUCGAGCGAACAGACGAGGAGCUUGCUCCUCUGACGUUAGCGGCGGACGGGUGAGUAACACGUGGAUAACCUACCUAUAAGACUGGGAUAACUUCGGGAAACCGGCGCUAAUACCGGAUAAUAUAUUGAACCGCAUGGUUCAAUAGUGAAAGACGGUUUUGCUGUCACUUAUAGAUGGAUCCGCGCUGCAUUAGCUAGUUGGUAAGGUAACGGCUUACCAAGGCGACGAUGCGUAGCCGACCUGAGAGGGUGAUCGGCCACACUGGAACUGAGACACGGUCCAGACUCCUACGGGAGGCAGCAGUAGGGAAUCUUCCGCAAUGGGCGAAAGCCUGACGGAGCAACGGCGCGUGAGUGAUGAAGGUCUUCGGAUCGUAAAGCUCUGUUAUUAGGGAAGAACAAAUGUGUAAGUAACUAUGCACGUCUUGACGGUACCUAAUCAGAAAGCCACGGCUAACUACGUG
RNAcentral lists this ribosomal RNA (497 nucleotides) under uncultured bacterium. Its description in RNAcentral is "partial 16S ribosomal RNA". It matches the Rfam family "Bacterial small subunit ribosomal RNA", at positions 28 to 507 of the family's 1533-position model. The record is from RNAcentral.